CUGCCCGGGACUGCCACCCCGCUAGCCCUGCCGCCCCCAAACAGAGUCGCAGGGCUCGCGCUGAUGCAAUGAACAUCAAACGCUCCCUCCCGAGCGUGCACUCGUUCCGGUUAACCGGCAUUUCGCGCCAUCAACACGUAGCUACGAGAAGGGGCCUGGAAGACAACUCUGCCUCUCCGGCUUACAGUGCAUGGCCAGUCUUGCUUCAUCUAUACCCCCCCGCCCCGCCAACUUCCUCUCAACAACCAGAUUUUUUUGGAGCACAUGCCAGAUGCCGUAUCAUUUCAUCUAGGAUUCCAUUAGCGUCCAUGUGUUCUUCCAUCAGGAAGUGAAUAUGUCUGCCUCUGUAUCUUUCUGUGAUGUCACCAACCGUUGACGACCAGCGCUAAACUAUUUUGAGUUCCAGUAGCCAAAAGUGACUGUAUUUCUGUCCAGAUGGUUUGAUCUCUUUGGGAGAAAAAGAAGUCGGCUCUGUCCUAUUGGCUCUCCCCUCCAAGGGUGUGUUGUCUCUCCAAUUAGACUGGAAGCUCCCUGAGAGCCAGAGUGACUGCUUCUCCCUUUAACAGCCACCGCACCCGGUCAUGCAAAAUGGCCGCAACCAUGAAAACGCACAGGGCAAAAGAGAAUCGGAAUAAAUGGCAACUGUUUUCUCCAGAGUGUAUUAACAUGCUUCCAGACAACAGCAUCUUUAUUCCUUCAAUAAGUGCUG
Long non-coding RNA from Panthera uncia (snow leopard), 709 nucleotides. RefSeq lists it as uncharacterized. The transcript is spliced from 4 exons. The record is from RefSeq and is a predicted model, not a curated record. Lineage: Eukaryota; Metazoa; Chordata; Mammalia; Carnivora; Felidae.